RNAcentral lists this ribosomal RNA (522 nucleotides) under Rhodotorula glutinis. RNAcentral describes it as "eukaryotic LSU rRNA". It matches the Rfam family "Eukaryotic large subunit ribosomal RNA", at positions 62 to 587 of the family's 3401-position model. The record is from RNAcentral. Lineage: Eukaryota; Fungi; Basidiomycota; Microbotryomycetes; Sporidiobolales; Sporidiobolaceae.
AAACUAACAAGGAUUCCCCUAGUAGCGGCGAGCGAAGCGGGAAGAGCUCAAAUUUAUAAUCUGGCACCUUCGGUGUCCGAGUUGUAAUCUCUAGAAGUGUUUUCCGCGUUGGACCGCACACAAGUCUGUUGGAAUACAGCGGCAUAGUGGUGAAACCCCCGUAUAUGGUGCGGACGCCCAGCGCUUUGUGAUACACUUUCAAUGAGUCGAGUUGUUUGGGAAUGCAGCUCAAAUUGGGUGGUAAAUUCCAUCUAAAGCUAAAUAUUGGCGAGAGACCGAUAGCGAACAAGUACCGUGAGGGAAAGAUGAAAAGCACUUUGGAAAGAGAGUUAACAGUACGUGAAAUUGUUGGAAGGGAAACGCUUGAAGUCAGACUUGCUUGCCGGAGCUUGCUUCGGUUUGCAGGCCAGCAUCAGUUUUCCGGGGUGGAUAAUGACGGUUUGAAGGUAGCAGUCUCGGCUGUGUUAUAGCUUUCCGUUGGAUACAUCCUGGGGGACUGAGGAACGCAGCGUGCUUUUUGCG